GAUGAACGCUGGCGGCGUGCCUAAUACAUGCAAGUCGAGCGAACAGACGAGGAGCUUGCUCCUCUGACGUUAGCGGCGGACGGGUGAGUAACACGUGGAUAACCUACCUAUAAGACUGGGAUAACUUCGGGAAACCGGAGCUAAUACCGGAUAAUAUAUUGAACCGCAUGGUUCAAUAGUGAAAGACGGUUUUGCUGUCACUUAUAGAUGGAUCCGCGCCGCAUUAGCUAGUUGGUAAGGUAACGGCUUACCAAGGCAACGAUGCGUAGCCGACCUGAGAGGGUGAUCGGCCACACUGGAACUGAGACACGGUCCAGACUCCUACGGGAGGCAGCAGUAGGGAAUCUUCCGCAAUGGGCGAAAGCUUGACGGAGCAACGCCGCGUGAGUGAUGAAGGUCUUCGGAUCGUAAAACUCUGUUAUUAGGGAAGAACAAAUGUGUAAGUAACUAUGCACGUCUUGACGGUACCUAAUCAAAAAGCCACGGCUAACUACGU
This 496-nucleotide ribosomal RNA is filed under the name uncultured bacterium. RNAcentral describes it as "partial 16S ribosomal RNA". It matches the Rfam family "Bacterial small subunit ribosomal RNA", at positions 28 to 506 of the family's 1533-position model. The record is from RNAcentral.